GAUUCUUUAAUAUAAUUUAGUAUAUUUGACUUCCAAUCAAAAAGUUUUAAGGAUUA
RNAcentral lists this transfer RNA (56 nucleotides) under Panagrellus redivivus. Its description in RNAcentral is "tRNA-Gly". The record is from RNAcentral. Lineage: Eukaryota; Metazoa; Nematoda; Chromadorea; Rhabditida; Panagrolaimidae.